AUUUUUCCAUCCCUAAGUUACUUCCCCACUCUUAAGUUGAGUUCAUAAAUAGCAUACGUUAGCAUAUAACUAACACAAUAUGAUUUCUUUCUCUUUUGUUGAAUUAGUUUUUAAAUAUAAAAUAGUAUAUAAUAAAUUAUAAUAAAUAAUUAAAUUUAAUAAUUAAAUUUCUAUUGCAUAUCAAACAAUGAGCCCAGACUUCAAAGGUUUCACAAAUGUGAAUUAAGCAACCCC
Molecule: long non-coding RNA, 234 nt
Filed under: Elaeis guineensis (African oil palm)
Lineage: Eukaryota; Viridiplantae; Streptophyta; Magnoliopsida; Arecales; Arecaceae
Description: long non-coding RNA (EGUI_LNC015704)
Source: RNAcentral